Molecule: ribosomal RNA, 490 nt
Filed under: uncultured bacterium
Lineage: Bacteria
Description: partial 16S ribosomal RNA
Rfam family: Bacterial small subunit ribosomal RNA
Source: RNAcentral
AGUGAACGCUGGCGGCAGGCCUAACACAUGCAAGUCGAACGGCAGCACAAGAGAGCUUGCCCUCUGGGUGGCGAGUGGCGGACGGGUGAGGAAUGCAUCGGAAUCUGCCCAUUUGUGGGGGAUAACCUCGGGAAACCGGGACUAAUACCGCAUACGACCUACGGGUGAAAGCAGGGGAUCUUCGGACCUUGCGCAGAUGGAUGAGCCGAUGCCGGAUUAGCUAGUUGGAGGGGUAAAGGCCCACCAAGGCGACGAUCCGUAGCUGGUCUGAGAGGAUGAUCAGCCACACUGGGACUGAGACACGGCCCAGACUCCUACGGGAGGCAGCAGUGGGGAAUAUUGGACAAUGGGCGCAAGCCUGAUCCAGCCAUGCCGCGUGUGUGAAGAAGGCCUUCGGGUUGUAAAGCGCUUUUGUUGGGAAAGAAAAGCAGCCGGUUAAUACCCGGUUGUCAUGACGGUACCCAAAGAAUAAGCACCGGCUAACUUCGUG